AACGCCUGUCGGCAGAUCUCUCCCAUCCCCUGGAGCAGAUCUCGGAGCGGAAACUCCUCCCCAAGUUUCCGUUCCCUGGCCCCGCCGACCUCCCCCUGGUCUGCGGGGCUUUUUA
Xanthomonas campestris pv. campestris is the source of this 115-nucleotide small RNA. It matches the Rfam family "Xanthomonadaceae sRNA sX13". Lineage: Bacteria; Pseudomonadati; Pseudomonadota; Gammaproteobacteria; Lysobacterales; Lysobacteraceae. The record is from Rfam.